Lethenteron reissneri (Far Eastern brook lamprey) is the source of this 371-nucleotide long non-coding RNA. RefSeq lists it as uncharacterized. The record is from RefSeq and is a predicted model, not a curated record. NCBI's taxonomy places the organism in Eukaryota, Metazoa, Chordata, Hyperoartia, Petromyzontiformes, Petromyzontidae.
GUGCGCCUCGUCAUCCCGGUACGAGCCAUCGUUGCUCUCCCGGUGCCGGCGCUCCUCCAGCCUGGCCGACUCCAUCGUCACGGUGACAACCGCGCUGUGGACAGAGAGAAACUAGGGUUGGUCAAAACGGUGCGUGACGUCACCCAGCAGUACGGAUGGGCUCACCACAGUUUGCUGAUGGACAGACGUUAACUACCUCGCCUGGCUCCCGCGCUCUGCACGGAGGAAAAGAAUUGAACGCCGCGAUUCACGUCCACUUUGGCCGGUUUCAUCCCGAAGAGUCCGUUUGGAACUGUCGCUGAGCUGUGCGACCGGUGUGAGAGAACGGAAGCGGCUUUCGCAGAACUACUUCCAAAAUCUCUGCAAGUCAC